UUGAGUGGAUCCAAGCAAAACGGCGCAAACCGUACACAGCAAAAAAUGUAGUAAAACGCCUGCGUGUAAUAAUGGUUUGUGUAGUCAAUUUUAUGUAAUAUUACAUAUUUUUCAUAGAACACAUUUCGUCUUUUUGCCUAACACCAAUUACGCCUAAAUUGUGUAAUAUUAACAACAUUUUCAAUUAAUAUCGCAUAUGCGUGUUUCCUCAAGUUAAGCUGUCAAAUUUUUUCACCAUCCGCAAUCAAAUCAAAACAAUGCGUACCAAAUUUUAGUGGUGCUGAGCAAAGUGACGAAAAAUCAACAAGUUCUGUGGCCAAGAGCUGCCGUUAAGGAUGUUCGCCAUAAAAAAGAACCUUCCGGUGCGGUACAUCUUCUUCUUUGACACCGACAUCAGCGCCUAGAUCGAAGAAACCCAGAUCAAGGAGAAGCUGGUGUCGUCGUGCAAGUCGACCGGCUUCGAGGAGGCGGUCCAGCAGAGAGGACUUCAUCGCCAACCCGGAGAACUCUGCGCAUCUGUUAACGGGUGAACCGUCCCGAAACGGACCUCGAGUUCAACAAGCUGCGGAAAACGACAAGAGUGAGAACGGCCAGGAGGACGAGAGCGUGAACAACACGACGACCAAGAGUGCGCUGGAAACGGUCAAACGACGAGGACGGUUCUCCCUGCCCCCGUACGCCAUCCAGUACUCGGACGAAUUCCUGCUUGAGGAAUUCAUACGCGCGGGACAUUGCAAAAAAAAGUCUGCCGCCAAGAAGAAAGUCGCUUCGACGCCCAAGGCCAAGGCCAUCGAGGACAUUGCAAACGCAAGCUAAACGAUUCCGGCAACGUGUCGACGCUGGAUCUGGACAUCGUCUCGCCGGUGCCCUUCCUCCGUAACGGUGGCGCAUCCUGCCACGCUCGAAAUCGACAUGCGAGUGUGUCGAACGCGCUGCAGUCGCACAACAUUCAGGCCUCAAAUAUAAAGUUUCGCUUAUUCGGGCUCGGCAUCAUUUGCUACGGCAUCGUCAAGAACCUACAGCCGGAGCCGGAGUUCGGUAACUGUGGAAUCAUGUCGGCCAACCUACGCCCCGAGAUGACCGGCGUCGACCAAGAACGUCGCAGGACAUCGCCGAAAAGAUCAUCUCCGAAGAAGGCCAGUACCAGGAAGCACAAAUUCAAAGCUCCAAGAACCAAACCAAGGAGGGCACGAUGAUCAUCCUGACCGGCGGCGAGCGGUUGCCGUCGAAGAGUGCCAGACCUUCUUCGAAGCCAUCUCGUGCAACUCGUUCUACCUCGGUGAGGUGGGCGACGUGACCAAGAGAAACCUGUUGCUGCAGAUGAUGAUUUACAGCGUGACGCUGGCCGGCAUAGCGUAAGAUUGUAAGAUUCAGUGAUGCAGCAUGCAGCCGCGACUGCGAAUGAUCAGCACGGAUCUCGAUUCAUUUAUCAAAAUCUGGAAUGGGAAACGGGAAAUCCUUCGCGAGUUGGGCGGCCAGCAUUGAGUGCGUCGACCCGGUCGUGCUGCAGUGCAUCAUCGGUUACGGAACGCGUUACGGCAAAUUGCCCUCAGUUGGAUUCCGGUGUGAUUGCGGUCGUUUGGGCAAGAUUGUACCAGCAUCAAUUCUGCAGCUCAACAAGAAACCCUUACAAGCGGAUGUCCGAGCUGGCCGCCGGGAAAGACAGCGCAUCGCCAACACACGAACUUCACUCUGUAAGCUGAUCAAACGAUUCGGAACGACACAAAGUGUCCGAGCUGGCAGGGAAAGAAAAAUAGAAAUAGUGCAAACGACCUCCUUGCGAAGAAUUUCAUCAACACGUAAAGACACCUAAUUAAAUAGCAAAGUUCAAGUGUUUAAGAGAAAAUUAUACGCAAU
Long non-coding RNA from Culex pipiens pallens (northern house mosquito), 1857 nucleotides. RefSeq lists it as uncharacterized. The transcript has 5 exons. Lineage: Eukaryota; Metazoa; Arthropoda; Insecta; Diptera; Culicidae. The record is from RefSeq and is a predicted model, not a curated record.